Molecule: long non-coding RNA, 539 nt
Filed under: Manihot esculenta (cassava)
Lineage: Eukaryota; Viridiplantae; Streptophyta; Magnoliopsida; Malpighiales; Euphorbiaceae
Description: long non-coding RNA (MESC_LNC007936)
Source: RNAcentral
CGGCGGCCGAAAGUCCUGGACAGAGACGAAACUCAGGUAGGUUCGGCGGCACCUUCGGCAGCCGAAAGUGCCAGACAGAGACGAAAGUCUCUUUUCGGGGGCAACUUCGGCAGCCGAAAGGCCUGCCUCCCCAGCCAUGUUCGGCGGCCGAAAGUACCUUCGGCUGCCGAACCUGGUUUCUGCCAAAGGGCAGAAACUUGGCUCCCUUAGCACAUUUCGCCUCCAAACCUUCCAAACAUGCAUAUUGUUCAACCAAAGCAUGCAUACAAGUUCCUAGGGGCCUCAAACAUGCAUAUACCCCAUCUACAACACUUCAAUCACACACAAUCAAGCUACAUUGUUCAAAAAGUCAUCAAAAACCCAUAGGUUUAACAUAUACCCUAACAUGCAUUCUACCCCUUAAAACUUCAUAAAACUUGUUUAAAUCAUACAUUGAGCUUAAGAUCGGCUCUUACCUCUUGAAGAUCGAGGGUUGAGGAGAUCUAAACUUGGAGAUGGGGGAAGUUCCAACUUUUGGUCUCCAAGCUCCAAAACUCGUU